This 2323-nucleotide long non-coding RNA is filed under the name Phaseolus vulgaris (common bean). RNAcentral describes it as "long non-coding RNA (PVUL_LNC003158)". The record is from RNAcentral. Lineage: Eukaryota; Viridiplantae; Streptophyta; Magnoliopsida; Fabales; Fabaceae.
CCAAUUUUUACAUGGAAUGAUAAAAAUGCCUUUAAGCAAAAGGGAGUGCAAGUAAACAUGUUUUGAAGUCUCAUUUCCAUAAUAUUUUUUGAAUUUGGAUUUGCAUAACACUAAUUUUUAAAUUGGAAAUCCCUUAUCUGGAAUAUGUAUUUUUUAUUUUCCAGAAUUUUUUUUCCAUAACGUAUUUUUUCAUUCUAAAAUAGUUUUUCCAAAAUGAAAUUUUGAUUUUUGAAUUCUAUUAUGAAAUUUCAUUUCUCAAAUACAAUAAACUAUUCCACCAAAUUUGCUUUUCCAAAAUGUAUUUAUUUAAUUUCGGAUUUUUAUUUUCAAAAUGAAUGGCAUUUUUGAAAAUUUAAAAGUGUAUAGGGAGCAGAGAAAGAAUUUGCCAAUCAUGUUUUAUUUGUUACUUCCUCCAUUUUUAUCAUCUGUUACUUUCUAAAAUAUCUAUCAUUUUACAUUUAAAAUUUAAAAUUUUAAAUGCUUUGUAUUCAAUUAUAUCCCUAUCAGAAAAGAGAGAGAACCAAGAGUAUAUCAAACAUCAUUUAUUGUAUUUCUUGAUGUGUCAAUAACUUCAAAUGAUAAAAAAAAAACAGGAUUUUUUUUUUGUCGUAUGUCUAACAAAGCAAUACAGAUACAUUAGGUUUUGGUUUCCUUUUAUGCGUGUUUUGGACAAAGCAAUUUGAAAAGACUAUUGAUGCAAUGCCAAUCAUCAAUCUUUCGAAGAGACUCAAACAUAACUUAAAUUUAGAUUCACAUCACCUCCUACCUAAAAAAUUUAAGGUAACAUGUUUUUAUAUAUUUUUUAUAAUAUUGCUCAAUUUUCUGUUUUUCUCUCUAUGUAAGUUUCAAUCACUUGAUUCUUAAACUAUUUGACUUGUUAUACAGAUUGUUUCAGAAGUUCUGAGAAUUUAUGAAGAAUGAGUCUUUUGGGUCAUCAUUGAUGCUUUACAAAAUAAUUUUUGUCAAAACAGUAAUAUUGUUCAUUUCUAAUAUGAUAAACUCUUGUAGCAGUUCAGUAUUAAGUUUGAUUUGAUAUUAAGUGGAAAGUAAAUAAAUUUGAAGUUAUGUUCCAAUUUUAUAGGUUGUGCAAAUCUGUGUGAAGUGGGAGGACAUUCUCUUAGGUAAGAAAUAGUUACUGAAUUACAUAAUCAGUGAAAGAACAUCUGCUGAAGGAUGAUACCCUAAGUAUACUGUUGGUAGAUUCCUAACAUAUCUUUGCAUUUGUUGAGAACAAAGGUGAAAGACUGUGCCAGAACAGUAGGAUCAUUGUUUCUACCUAACAAAGCUAUUUCUAUCUUUUACCAUGUUACAGACAGUGGUGACAAUCAUUGAAUUUUGCGUGUGGAUUAGAGAAUUCAGGGACCAAGGAAUCACGAACACAUGUCAUGGAUUUUGUGGACAUUGGACUAGACUAGACCAGCAUGUAAUGAAAGGUUGCACCAAGGACAAUGACAUUAUUUAAAAUGUUGUAGCUUGGUCUUAAUGAUUCUGAUAAGAAAGUGACUCAACUAAGCCUAACUAUUUUGCUUCUGAACUUGUUCAUGCCUAAGUGCUGUUUUUAAAUUGCUGCAAGAAGGUUGAUUAUGUGCAAAUUCCUUUGAGAAGCAAGUGGAACUAAAUCAUACCUUGUUGUUGAGUACUUGUGUAUGGUUAUAAUUUUUUAGAACCUUUACAGUGAACAACUACAAACAAAAUUGUAAAGGACAAGGUAGAAUAAUGUGGUUUCAAUUCAUUCGCAAGAUUCUUAACUUUAUUCCCCUGUAAAGGCUAAAAGCAACUCAAUUAUGCCAACCAAGAUCUCAUUUCCCUUUUAUCAAAUCUUCACUGAUAUUCAUGUCUUAAUCCAAGAACUCUUUUUUAGAUUCUCUUGAAAAUUUAUAACUCAUUUCUGCUGUUUCUUUUUCUCUCAAGUUUGGUAGAGAUGGAGUACCAGACACUGCUCUAAGAACCAACAGUCAAACGAAGUAUCAGCACAUCCAUGUCCCGAGGGGAGAAAACAGAGAAACAAAAGGCACAUGCUCAACCAACUAUUCUCAUAAUAUCACUCAAAUUUCUGCAACUCAAAUUUAUUUUCUUUCUGUUUCCUAUGAUAAAAAAUAAUAAGUAUGUAUCCUUUCAACAAGAAAGGGGAAAGAAAAAACAAAGAGUCAAAGCAAGAAUUGGAAAAAAAAAUACACAAGAAAUAAAAAAGAUGUUAAAAGAACAUGUUCCUUAUCUUAGCAAGUAGUGGCUUGAGUUCGAGAUUGAGUUCUUUCUUAGUAUACAGUUGUGUUGAAUACUCGAACAAGAUUGUGUCCUGUGAAAGAUGUUUUGUUUUCCUCAU